This is a long non-coding RNA of Etheostoma spectabile (orangethroat darter), 223 nucleotides long. RefSeq lists it as uncharacterized. The record is from RefSeq and is a predicted model, not a curated record. NCBI's taxonomy places the organism in Eukaryota, Metazoa, Chordata, Actinopteri, Perciformes, Percidae. The transcript is spliced from 3 exons.
CUAAAAUAAUUUAAGGUGCAUUGGUCCACUAUAGAAACACACAUGUACAGCACUUUAUAUAUUGCCCUUAGUAACUGACUUCAAUCAAAGCACAUUGGCAACUUUAUCCGCCUUUUCUAAUUAUCUCAACCACUGCAGUAAUAUAUUCAUCCAACUUCUAACAACAAUAUGAACAGCAGUCUUCAUAAAGCAAUAUAACAGUAACGAUAACAAAUUUAUAUUU